GAUGAACGCUGGCGGCGUGCCUAAUACAUGCAAGUCGAGCGAACGGACGAGAAGCUUGCUUCUCUGAUGUUAGCGGCGGACGGGUGAGUAACACGUGGAUAACCUACCUAUAAGACUGGGAUAACUUCGGGAAACCGGAGCUAAUACCGGAUAAUAUUUUGAACCGCAUGGUUCAAAAGUGAAAGACGGUCUUGCUGUCACUUAUAGAUGGAUCCGCGCUGCAUUAGCUAGUUGGUAAGGUAACGGCUUACCAAGGCUACGAUGCAUAGCCGAACUGAGAGGGUGAUAGGCGACACUGGAACGGAGCCACGGUCAUGAGUCCUACGGGAGGCAGCAGUAGGGAAUCUUCGGCAAUGGGCGAGAGCCUGACGGAGCGACGCGGCGUGAGUUAUGAAGAUGUUGGGAGCGUAAUACUCUGUUAUUAGGGAAGAACAUCUGUGUAAGUAACUGUGCACAUCUUGACGGUACCUAGUCAGAAAGCCACGGCUAACUACGUG
Molecule: ribosomal RNA, 497 nt
Filed under: uncultured bacterium
Lineage: Bacteria
Description: partial 16S ribosomal RNA
Rfam family: Bacterial small subunit ribosomal RNA
Source: RNAcentral